This 525-nucleotide long non-coding RNA is filed under the name Mus caroli (Ryukyu mouse). RNAcentral describes it as "lncRNA (MGP_CAROLIEiJ_G0002740.1)". Lineage: Eukaryota; Metazoa; Chordata; Mammalia; Rodentia; Muridae. The record is from RNAcentral.
UCACCCUUCUGGGCCAAACCACUUCCACUCUGCUGGCAGAUCCCAUGUGGGAAGAGAGUGAGCAGGGGAGGGUCCAUUCCCCAUCCUGAGGUUGUUGGUGGAAGACAUUCACAGGAUUCCUCCUUCAGAAUGGGCUUGCAUUUCCUGUACACACAGCGAUGGCUGGGCAUCCUGGAAGUGGGGCAGGCAGCUGAAGAACAGAGAAGCAAGGUUUCCACUUCACCCUACCGUACACAUGCUUUGGACUUUGGAAUCGAAGUUCAGGGGGCAUUUUAGACCUGUCAGUUUGAGGACGGACUCAGUCAAGAGGCACAGUGGGGGCCCCUGUGCAGGAUGCUCAUGCCAGGAUAAAGAGAUGAGCACUCAUGCGAGGUGGGAUGUUACAAAGGUCCCUACAUCUCUUGGUGCUACCCUUGAGAACCUGACCCAGGCCCACAAAGCUCCUCCAAACCCAGACAAUAGAGUCCUUCAAUGGCCAGCUUCAAAAAUGAGGAGGUAAUAAGGUAACAGGUGGACAGUCCCUUA